This 442-nucleotide ribosomal RNA is filed under the name uncultured bacterium. RNAcentral describes it as "partial 16S ribosomal RNA". It matches the Rfam family "Bacterial small subunit ribosomal RNA", at positions 338 to 795 of the family's 1533-position model. The record is from RNAcentral.
CCUACGGGGGGCAGCAGUGGGGAAUAUUGGGCAAUGGACGCAAGUCUGACCCAGCAACGCCGCGUGAAGGAAGAAGGCUUUCGGGUUGUAAACUUCUUUUAAGGGGGAAGAGCAGAAGACGGUACCCCUUGAAUAAGCCACGGCUAACUACGUGCCAGCAGCCGCGGGAAUACGUAGGUGGCAAGCGUUGUCCGGAUUUACUGGGUGUAAAGGGCGUGCAGCCGGAGAGACAAGUCAGAUGUGAAAUCCACGGGCUCAACCCGUGAACUGCAUUUGAAACUGUUUCCCUUGAGUGUCGGAGAGGUAAUCGGAAUUCCGAGUGUAGCGGUGAAAUGCGUAGAUAUUAGGAAGAACACCAGUGGCGAAGGCGGAUUACUGGACGAUAACUGACGGUGAGGCGCGAAAGCGUGGGGAGCGAACAGGAUUAGAUACCCCAGUAGUC